This 253-nucleotide ribosomal RNA is filed under the name uncultured bacterium. RNAcentral's name for it is "partial 16S ribosomal RNA". It matches the Rfam family "Bacterial small subunit ribosomal RNA", at positions 524 to 776 of the family's 1533-position model. The record is from RNAcentral.
UACGUAGGUGGCAAGCGUUAUCCGGAAUUACUGGGUGUAAAGGGAGCGUAGACGGUAAUGUAAGUCUGGAGUGAAAGGCGGGGGCCCAACCCCCGGACUGCUCUGGAAACUAUGUUACUAGAGUGCAGGAGAGGUAAGCGGAAUUCCUAGUGUAGCGGUGAAAUGCGUAGAGAUUAGGAAGAACACCAGUGGCGAAGGCGAUUCUCUGGACUGUAACUGACGCUGAGGCUCGAAAGCGUGGGGAGCAAGCAGG